GAGAUGCCAGGCCUCAUGUCUUGCAGGACUGAGUUCGGACCCCAGCAGCCAUUCAAGGGUGCCAAGAUCACUGGCUCACUCCACAUGACCAUCCAGACUGCCGUCCUUAUCGAGACCCUCACCGCCCUUGGCGCCGAGGUCCGCUGGUGCUCCUGCAAUAUCUUCUCCACCCAGGACCACGCCGCCGCUGCCAUUGCCCGCGACAGCGCCGCCGUCUUCGCCUGGAAGGGCGAGACCCUACAGGAGUACUGGUGGUGCACGGAGCGGGCCCUCGACUGGGGUCCCGGUGGCGGCCCCGAUCUCAUCGUGGACGACGGCGGCGAC
This 324-nucleotide long non-coding RNA is filed under the name Vitis vinifera (wine grape). Its description in RNAcentral is "long non-coding RNA (VVIN_LNC001476)". The record is from RNAcentral. Lineage: Eukaryota; Viridiplantae; Streptophyta; Magnoliopsida; Vitales; Vitaceae.